UGGGGAAUAUUGCACAAUGGGCGCAAGACUGAUGCAGCCAUGCCGCGUGUGUGAAGAAGGCCUUCGGGUUGUAAAGCACUUUCAGCGGGGAGGAAGGCGUUAAGGUUAAUAACCUUGGCGAUUGACGUUACCCGCAGAAGAAGCACCGGCUAACUCCGUGCCAGCAGCCGCGGUAAUACGGAGGGUGCAAGCGUUAAUCGGAAUUACUGGGCGUAAAGCGCACGCAGGCGGUCUGUCAAGUCGGAUGUGAAAUCCCCGGGCUCAACCUGGGAACUGCAUUCGAAACUGGCAGGCUAGAGUCUUGUAGAGGGGGGUAGAAUUCCAGGUGUAGCGGUGAAGUGCGUAGAGAUCUGGAGGAAUACCGGUGGCGAAGGCGGCCCCCUGGACAAAGACUGACGCUCAGGUGCGAAAGCGUGGGGAGCAAACAGG
RNAcentral lists this ribosomal RNA (429 nucleotides) under Chloroflexota bacterium. RNAcentral describes it as "Chloroflexi bacterium partial 16S ribosomal RNA". It matches the Rfam family "Bacterial small subunit ribosomal RNA", at positions 355 to 776 of the family's 1533-position model. Lineage: Bacteria; Bacillati; Chloroflexota. The record is from RNAcentral.